CCAGCAGCCGCGGUAAUUCCAGCUCCAAUAGCGUAUAUUAAAAUUGUUGCAGUUAAAAAGCUCGUAGUUGGAUUUCUGGUACGGCGCACUUGGCCCGCCGAGGUUACUCGGUUGUGUGCCGGUGUGCGCCUGCCAUCCUUCUGGGGAACGGCUCUACCCUUCACUGGGUGGGGGUCGGUAUCCAGAUCUUUUACUUUGAAAAAAUUAGAGUGUUUAAAGCAGGCUUGCGCUAUGAAUACAUUAGCAUGGAAUAAUAAUUUAGGACUUUGGUCUUAUUUUGUUGGUUUCUAGGACUAAAGUAAUGAUUGAUAGGGAUAGUUGGGGGUGCUAGUAUUCAGCGGCCAGAGGUG
RNAcentral lists this ribosomal RNA (350 nucleotides) under uncultured eukaryote. RNAcentral's name for it is "SSU rRNA". It matches the Rfam family "Eukaryotic small subunit ribosomal RNA", at positions 567 to 913 of the family's 1831-position model. The record is from RNAcentral.